CACCUGGUCUGCAGACCCCAUAAUACCAGGAAGAGCUGGGUGUUCUGGCACCAGUGAAACAAUACCUGGUUUUUUAUUUUAAACCAGCCCAUCUUCCCCGCUGCAGUUGGAACCGUUCUACGUGGAUUUGGGAUCAACCAGCAGGCCUUUCCUGAGCUGUUACUGUGUGGAGUGGGCGCUGAGGCUCCAGCCAUUGAUGCAAAGACCCCAAUCCUGACCUGAAGGCGCUCACAAUCUCUCCCCAACGGCCUGGUGUGAAACGCAGACGCAACGCAGCAGGCAUUCUCCCCAGUGGCUGCCUGUAGAGCAAAUGGUGCAGAAAUGGUCACUCCUCAAAAAGCAAGCCGGCUGGAGCCAGCCCAGCUCCCAGUUUUGCAAGAAAAAAAAAAUCACAGCUCCAUUUUCAAAGAUUUCAAGGGCAGCUCAAGACCAGCCUGGACUAGCAGGCCUCAAAUGCAUUACUGGAGACCCCUUUACGCUCUUAACAAGUACCGACCCCAAAGAGGCUUUUUGUAUAACAAUGUCUAUUGAUAUUUACUCUACUGGAAAUUAAAAGUGAGAAAUUUAUAACAUGUAUAAUUCAUUAAAAAUAACAUAUAAAUCCAUUGCAUGUUAUCAUAAAUAAUUUUAUGAAGAUAAGCAUCUUCCAAAAUGAAAAAAUAAUUUACUGAGAGAGUAGCAUUGUUGUACAUUUUCACAAAUCCUGUCAGUGUCUGGCUUAAUAGAAGACAGCUAGGGACCUUGCGUCUGCUUCCGAUGUAGUCUAUGGAAAUGUGUUGUUUCAGUUGAACUGUAUCAAGAAAAUCUGGCCUCACGCAUUUUAUAGUUGAAACAGGGAAAAGGAUUUUAGUACCUUUUUCAGCUAACUAACUAUGAACAUUCUUUGCUACUACACCAAAACUCAACAAGUGGUAGCUUCUUAAAGGCUGGUUAUAACAUGGAAUCUGAAGCCUCAUGAAUAGACUUUUGGGCUCUGUGGCAGUUAAAUCCGCUGUUCUCUCUCACUUUGAACAUGUGGUUUUUCAUGGAAAAAUGAAUGUUCACUUGAAAAAUGUUGGUUCACAGAGUUCUGCAGAAAUUCAAAUUUUUGACACAUUACAUUAUAUAGUAUCAAAAAAUCACUUAAUAUCACCAUCCAUCUCAUCAGAAAACUCAUUAUGAGGAAGUUGUCAUGGUGAUAGGAGAAAGUUUUUCAAAAUUCUGAUUUUUGCUUAAAAGCUCAAAUGUAUACCAUUGGCAAUAAAUAAUGUCAGCUGUUUCUGGAAGUAAGAGGCUCAGUUUGUUCCUUUUCUGGGAAAUAUCUGCCAGAUACCUAAAUCCAAUUAAAUGCCAUUUGUCUGUCAGUUUUUCUUUCAAGUAAAGAUGGUGUCGUGGCCAGAGUGGCUCAUGGAGCUCAGAACUCCCCCAGCAAUCACAGCUGAGCUUCUGCUCUGACCGACCACUGCCCGUCAGCAACAGCAGGAGUACAUUAUGAGUCACACGGAAUAUGGAAAAUAGGGCACGGAAACGAAUACAGUGGCUCCCGGACCUCUUUGGGACUGUGGCCUGAUACUCCAGCACAGGGGGUGUAAGUGUCAGCCCCGUGAAAAAGGCAGAGACCGUCUUAAAUCACUGCGAAAAUGGUUUCUUCUAUAAAAACAGAAACAACAUAUGGGGGCUGGUGAAACUUUGCACAAUCAAUCAGUUGAGCUGUAUUUGCAAGCCCAGUCCUGGCUCCACCUGCAAUUGGGAAGGAGCUGGCAGCUGUGACGGGGGAGACAUGGUGUACAGUGAGCAGCCGUUUCCAGGCAUUGCUGUGUGACCCAUUUUGCACAUGGUUUGAUUCCAGAUCGGAGGCCCUGUUUUUCCAUUUAAACAAUCCUGUGCUUUCUCAAACAGAUUAGCUCAGAAGAGAUGGCUUAUUUUCAGUAGUACAAGAUGGGUCAUUUUCACUCAAUUAUAAAAGCAGCUCAAUUUACAUCUAAAAAUACUUUGCACUAAAAUUCAAAGCUUGUGUAAUAAGAUAAGGGUUCAAAAAUGAUUCAGUAAAUUUCAUACCCAAACCUUUACCUCUGAGGACCUGCUGUUAAUUUAAAAUAUGAACUUGUGAAUUUGAUUUGGGAACCUGUAAAAUGUAAAAAUGUGUAACACUGUCAACCAGCGUAUAGGAAACAGUGUGGACACUGCAGGAGAAGGGUGGCCCCUCUUUAGACCCAGGUUAACCAGGAGGUGUGAACUAUUAAC
RNAcentral lists this long non-coding RNA (2223 nucleotides) under Homo sapiens (human). Its description in RNAcentral is "HSALNT0402085". Lineage: Eukaryota; Metazoa; Chordata; Mammalia; Primates; Hominidae. The record is from RNAcentral.